UACAGAGGUUGCAAGCGUUGUUCGGAAUUACUGGGCGUAAAGGGCGCGUAGGCGGUUCGUCAAGUCCUGUGUGAAAUCCCCCGGCUCAACUGGGGAACUGCACAGGAAACUAGCGGGCUUGAGUUCGGGAGAGGGAAGCGGAAUUCCGGGUGUAGCGGUGAAAUGCGUAGAUAUCCGGAGGAACACCGGUGGCGAAGGCGGCUUCCUGGACCGACACUGACGCUGAGGCGCGAAAGCUAGGGGAGCAAACGGG
RNAcentral lists this ribosomal RNA (253 nucleotides) under uncultured bacterium. Its description in RNAcentral is "partial 16S ribosomal RNA". It matches the Rfam family "Bacterial small subunit ribosomal RNA", at positions 524 to 776 of the family's 1533-position model. The record is from RNAcentral.